UACGAAGGGGGCUAGCGUUGUUCGGAUUUACUGGGCGUAAAGCGCACGUAGGCGGAAUGUUAAGUCAGAGGUGAAAUCCUGGAGCUCAACUCCAGAACUGCCUUUGAUACUGGCAAUCUAGAGUCCGGAAGAGGUGAGUGGAACUCCUAGUGUAGAGGUGGAAUUCGUAGAUAUUAGGAAGAACACCAGUGGCGAAGGCGGCUCACUGGUCCGGAACUGACGCUGAGGUGCGAAAGCGUGGGGAGCAAAC
This 250-nucleotide ribosomal RNA is filed under the name uncultured prokaryote. RNAcentral's name for it is "partial 16S ribosomal RNA". It matches the Rfam family "Bacterial small subunit ribosomal RNA", at positions 524 to 773 of the family's 1533-position model. The record is from RNAcentral.